CUGGUUCUCCCCGAAAGCUAUUUAGGUAGCGCCUCGUGAAUUCAUCUCCGGGGGUAGAGCACUGUUUCGGCUAGGGGGUCAUCCCGACUUACCAACCCGAUGCAAACUGCGAAUACCGGAGAAUGUUAUCACGGGAGACACACGGCGGGUGCUAACGUCCGUCGUGAAGAGGGAAACAACCCAGACCGCCAGCUAAGGUCCCAAAGUCAUGGUUAAGUGGGAAACGAUGUGGGAAGGCCCAGACAGCCAGGAUGUUGGCUUAGAAGCAGCCAUCAUUUAAAGAAAGCGUAAUAGCUCACUGGUCGAGUCGGCCUGCGCGGAAGAUGUAACGGGGCUAAACCAUGCACCGAAGCUGCGGCAGCGACACUGUGUGUUGUUGGGUAGGGGAGCGUUCUGUAAGCCUGUGAAGGUGGCCUGUGAGGGUUGCUGGAGGUAUCAGAAGUGCGAAUGCUGACAUAAGUAACGAUAAAGCGGGUGAAAAGCCCGCUCGCCGGAAGACCAAGGGUUCCUGUCCAACGUUAAUCGGGGCAGGGUGAGUCGACCCCUAAGGCGAGGCCGAAAGGCGUAGUCGAUGGGAAACGGGUUAAUAUUCCCGUACUUGGUGUUACUGCGAAGGGGGGACGGAGAAGGCUAUGUUGGCCGGGCGACGGUUGUCCCGGUUUAAGCGUGUAGGUGUGUGUUCCAGGUAAAUCCGGUUCACUUUAACACUGAGGCGUGAUGACGAGGCACUACGGUGCUGAAGCAACAAAUGCCCUGCUUCCAGGAAAAGCCUCUAAGCAUCAGGUAACAUCAAAUCGUACCCCAAACCGACACAGGUGGUCAGGUAGAGAAUACCAAGGCGCUUGAGAGAACUCGGGUGAAGGAACUAGGCAAAAUGGUGCCGUAACUUCGGGAGAAGGCACGCUGACACGUAGGUGAAGUGAUUUACUCAUGGAGCUGAAGUCAGUCGAAGAUACCAGCUGGCUGCAACUGUUUAUUAAAAACACAGCACUGUGCAAACACGAAAGUGGACGUAUACGGUGUGACGCCUGCCCGGUGCCGGAAGGUUAAUUGAUGGGGUCAGCGCAAGCGAAGCUCCUGAUCGAAGCCCCGGUAAACGGCGGCCGUAACUAUAACGGUCCUAAGGUAGCGAAAUUCCUUGUCGGGUAAGUUCCGACCUGCACGAAUGGCGUAAUGAUGGCCAGGCUGUCUCCACCCGAGACUCAGUGAAAUUGAACUCGCUGUGAAGAUGCAGUGUACCCGCGGCAAGACGGAAAGACCCCGUGAACCUUUACUAUAGCUUGACACUGAACAUUGAGCCUUGAUGUGUAGGAUAGGUGGGAGGCUUUGAAGCGUGGACGCCAGUCUGCGUGGAGCCGACCUUGAAAUACCACCCUUUAAUGUUUGAUGUUCUAACGUGGACCCGUUACCCGGGUUGCGGACAGUGUCUGGUGGGUAGUUUGACUGGGGCGGUCUCCUCCUAAAGAGUAACGGAGGAGCACGAAGGUUGGCUAAUCCUGGUCGGACAUCAGGAGGUUAGUGCAAUGGCAUAAGCCAGCUUGACUGCGAGCGUGACGGCGCGAGCAGGUGCGAAAGCAGGUCAUAGUGAUCCGGUGGUUCUGAAUGGAAGGGCCAUCGCUCAACGGAUAAAAGGUACUCCGGGGAUAACAGGCUGAUACCGCCCAAGAGUUCAUAUCGACGGCGGUGUUUGGCACCUCGAUGUCGGCUCAUCACAUCCUGGGGCUGAAGUAGGUCCCAAGGGUAUGGCUGUUCGCCAUUUAAAGUGGUACGCGAGCUGGGUUUAGAACGUCGUGAGACAGUUCGGUCCCUAUCUGCCGUGGGCGCUGGAGAACUGAGGGGGGCUGCUCCUAGUACGAGAGGACCGGAGUGGACGCAUCACUGGUGUUCGGGUUGUCAUGCCAAUGGCACUGCCCGGUAGCUAAAUGCGGAAGAGAUAAGUGCUGAAAGCAUCUAAGCACGAAACUUGCCCCGAGAUGAGUUCUCCCUGAGACUUAGAGUCUCCUGAAGGAACGUUGAAG
RNAcentral lists this ribosomal RNA (2018 nucleotides) under Salmonella enterica. RNAcentral's name for it is "partial 23S ribosomal RNA". It matches the Rfam family "Bacterial large subunit ribosomal RNA", at positions 849 to 2843 of the family's 2925-position model. The record is from RNAcentral. Lineage: Bacteria; Pseudomonadati; Pseudomonadota; Gammaproteobacteria; Enterobacterales; Enterobacteriaceae.